This 451-nucleotide ribosomal RNA is filed under the name uncultured bacterium. Its description in RNAcentral is "partial 16S ribosomal RNA". It matches the Rfam family "Bacterial small subunit ribosomal RNA", at positions 29 to 523 of the family's 1533-position model. The record is from RNAcentral.
AGCGAACGCUGGCGGCAGGCUUAACACAUGCAAGUCGAGCGGGCAUCUUCGGGUGUCAGCGGCGGACGGGUGAGUAACGCGUGGGAACGUGCCUUCUGGUUCGGAAUAACUCAGGGAAACUUGAGCUAAUACCCGAUACGCCCUUUUGGGGAAGGGUUUACUUCCGGACGAUCAGCCCGCGGCUGAUUAGCUAGUUGGUGGGGUAACGGCCGACCAAGGCGACGAUCAGUAGCUGGUCUGAGAGGAUGAUCAGCCACACUGGGACUGAGACACUGCCCAGACUCCUACGAGCGGCAGCAGGGGGGAAUAUUGGACAAUGGGGGCAACCCUGAUCCAGCCGUGCCGCGUGAGUGAUGAAGUCCUUAGGGUUGUAAAGCUCUUUUAUCCGGGACGAUAAUUACGGUACCGGAGGAAUAAGCCCCGGCUAACUCCGUGCCAGCCGCCGCAGUAA